ACACAGGGAGAACGCCAUCUGACCAAGGAGGCAGAGACUGGAGUGAUGUAGCUGCAAGCCAAGGAAUGUCAAGGAUUGCUGGCCAACUACCAGAGGCUAGGAAGAGAUGGAGUUUCACUCUCGUCGCCCAGGCUGGAGUACAAUGGCGCGAUCUUGGCUCACUGCAACCUCCACCUCCCCAGUUCAAGUGAUUCUCCUACCUCAGCCUCCCAAGUAGCUGGGAUUACAGCUUCCAUAAGUCAGGAUUCCAGUCACAGCUUAGCUGGAUCCUCUCAGAAGGCUACGAUCAAGGUGUCAGCCAGACUGAGUUCUCAUCAGAGGCUCGACUAGGAGAGGAUCUGCUUCCAAGUUCCCUCAGGUUGUUGGAAGGAUUCAUUUUCUUGUGGCUAAGCUCACAGGAGCUUUCUUCUUCAAGGGCAUCAGGAGAGUGGAGAGCGAGUCUACUCAAAGACUUCUAUACAAAUCAUAAGACAUCAAGUACUCUUCAACUGCCUAUUGGGAGACAAUUUCCACAGCUCUCUCAUGUUUCUGCACAACUUGUAAGCAAGACAAGACUCUCUUAUCUUCUGGACUCUAUUUUCAAGAAUACUCAUAUAGUGAACAGUGUCUUCUUCCUGAGCGAAGGGCAUAAAUGCUACUUUCCAUUUUAAAAGAUUCAAGUUCCCUAAGCUCGGAAUUCUUCUGUAAUGCAACCCAUUGUGUGUGCAGGUAUCACCUGGCAUUCUUCCCAUUACCCUGUGGGAAUUGGAGCUCAGGGAACCUUCAUAGAAAUUCUGAUAGUCUAGCUACUGCUAUUUCUAUGAGUAAUAAAUUGUUUCUGACCUAGAAGUCUUGUGUCUUCUGCUGGCACCCAUGAAAUUAUGAGGCUAAAUUGUUAGAUUACAAGUGAGGUAAAAUCUUGGACGCUUCCCAGUUCUUGACACUGACUAAAAUACAUGCAUAUUCGUUUUAUCAAGUCAGUUUGAAAAAAAAUCUAUGAAUUAAAAUAAUUACAAAAUUCUAAGGACUGAAUUUGUAAUAUAUUGGAUGAACAAAACCCUCUACCUUGGUUCUGAAAUUCUUGAUAGUUGAGAUAUGUGUAACAUUUGUAAUUUGAAAUACACAAGUAAUUCUCUAUUUAAAAGGUCAUAUAUCCAAAGUAUUGAAAAAUCUAGAAUACAUUAAACUUUAGCUAUCCAUGGUGAAAGGCAGUGGCAAAACAGCUGCAGAAAAGCUGAAACUAGAUUCAAUUAAAUCUUUGUGCCAAAACCAAGUGCACAAAAAUCUCCCAAAGCUGUUAAAACUAUACAGCUUAUUUGCUAUAAAUUUUAUAAAUGGUUAAAUAAAACAAGUUUUGAAGUAAUUUGGUAAAUUGACAAAUUUUUCACUCAUUGAUUUGUUGUAGCUAAUGAGGGAUGGUGGGGAGUGGAGAAGGGUUCAGAGAACUUGGGAAGGAUAUAAAAAUGGAGGUAUGUGGGGCAAAUGCCCCCAACUACAUGUUUUAAUCAAGAACACCAGCCUAUGAUCAAGGGAAUUUUCAUAUACAGAUGAGAGCUAGUCUCACUUGAUCUUUCUGCAUUAAAACUGUUACAAAGCAACUUCUUUAUCAAAUGAAUACAAUCACAUUUAGUAGAGGCUCUAGUUAAGACCUGAGGCUAUACUGACCUGGGUUAGAGACCUGGCUUUUACAUUUUUACCUAAUCUCUCUAAGCCUUAAUUUCUCAGUUUUAAAAGUGCAGGUAAUCAUAGCAUGUGUUUCCCAAGGAUGUUGUAAAGAUUAGUGUCAGGAUGGCUGAGUGGUGUAAGGCACCAGACCCAAGGAUGUUGUAAGGAUUAAUUGAAAUAUCCACUUGAAUUGCUUAGCAUGAUACCUGCUAUGUAGAAAGUGCUUGAUAGCCUUAACAAUAUAUAUCAUUAAGAAAUUUCCUUGGAAUGGGAAUUUCAAACCACUUUAUCAAAUAUACUUACUUCCUCACUUACUUUUGUGGUUUGGUAGCUUUUUCUUUACACAUUUAGGAGGUGGGGAAGCACAGAGAUAUAGCACUUUCUUUUUUUUUUCUUUGAGACAGAGUCUCGCCCUGUCACCCAGGCUGGAGUGCAGUGGCGCCAUCUUGGCUCACUGCAACCUCCGCCUCCCAGGUUCAAGCUAUUCUCCUGCUUCAGCUUCCUGAGUAGCUGGGACUACAGGUGCACGCCACCAAGCCCGGCUAAUUUUUGUAUUUUUAGUAGAGAAGGGGUUUCACCAUGUUGGCCAGGAUGGUCUCGAUCUCCUGACCUCGUGAUCCACCCGCCUUGGCCUCCCAAAGUGCUAGGAUAACCGGUGUAAGCCACCGCACCUGGCCAGAUAUAGCACUUUCUAAAAGGUCUAUAAAUCUUUCUAAAGAUUAAUAUUGAGUGGGAUCAAUGUGUUUUAGGGAAUCCAGAUACUGCACACCACUUUGCAAAUGUUUAGAUUUUAGCAGAACAACAAAUGGACUUUGCAAAGACUGUCUUUUAAUUAUUAAACCUCUAUUUAUUAAAAAGAAAUUAGGCCAGGCACAGUGGCUCACGCCUGUAAUCCCAGAACUUUGGGAGGCCGAGGUGGGUGGAUCACCUGAGGUCAGGAGUUCAAGACCAGCCUGGCCAACAUGGUGAGACCACAUCUCUACUACAAAUACAAAAAUUAGUCGGGCAUGGUGGCAGGCACCUGCAAUCUCAGCUACUUGGGAGGCUGAAUGAAUUUACAGGUAGGAAGGCACACAUUAUAUAAGUUAAAAUUCAGUUCAACUAUGAGUGACAGAAAACCCUAAUGAGUGGUAGCUUAAACAUACAAUGUUUACUCCCUCAAACAAAAUGUCUGCCUGAUAUGUAGCUGAUGUGAGGCUCCAUGGUGUCAGGGUCCCAGGUUUCUUUUAUCUAUGGCUUUGCCAUCUUUAUCACAUGAACCAUAAUGACUGCUUGAGUUUCUUAUGGUCUAAAAUGGUUUCUUGAGUUUCCUAUCCCCAUCCAGUCAGGAAGAAAAAAAAAAAAAAAAAAAAGGAAUGACUGAUGAAGCGCUUGCUUUUAUUUUAAGAACACUUCCUGCAAGUUGCACAUACCAAUUCUGUUUGCAUUCUUUUGGCCACAACUUACCUACUUGGCCAUGCCUAGCUUCAAGAGAAGAGAAAUGUAGUCAUUAUUUUGAGUAGUUAUAUGUCCAGAUGGAAAUCAGGGGAGCUAUCACACACACACACACACACACACACACACACACACACACACACACACACACAAAGCACAAAACAGAUACUGGGGACAACUCAUCUUCUUUGCCUCAUACACUGAAAUUAAGCCAGAUUGGUCUUGUUUUUGAAAGAAAGUAACACUGUUAGUAAGAGAGACUUUGGUAUUGUCUAAUCAAACUUCUCUCUUUUUGUGGAUGAGACUCAUGUUGUCUGAGUUCAAGUUCAGAUAUCAUCCAUUCCUUGAGCUUGUAUGUGUGAUACUACACACUACAACCUAGCACAGAGAGGAUGAGAAGACAAGAAAUGAGAACUUAGGUGUUACUUAGUAUUUAUUUAUAAUAGUAGUUUUAAAAAUGCUGUCUUGACACAGUUUUGAGGCCCUGGAAAUAACAUUUUAAAGUAAAAACGUUAAAGUUUAAAGAAGAGCUUUGCCACUUAAACGGGGGAGUUUGUCUGGAAAAUAUAUUGAGUUGAAACACUUCAUCCUUGGAAGGAUUAUAUACGAUGAACAAUUGCAUAUAAAUGUGUGUUUUAGAGAGAUGUGAACGGGCAGUUAGUCCAGUGCCCUCAUUUAAGAGGCCAAAAUCCUGACUCAGAGGAGGUGUCCUUUGCCCAGAGCUUCUUAGCUAAUCUGACCAAAUGUUGGGAAAUAUAUCUUACCUAACCUACUAUUCCUUAAUUAUGGAUUUUGUGGAAAACAAUAAAACAUGUUAAUGAGUAAUUUAUAUUAGUUCAAUUUAUUACAAUUUUUUAGCUUUAAAUUACAGUUUUCUUAUAAUGAUGAAAUGUUUUAGAAUCCUUUGAAUCUAAGUAUUUACUUAUUUCCUAAAUAAAACAUUAGUACAACAUUUGAUGUUUUACUUAUGAAAUAUCCUCCUCUCCCAAGAUAAUUAAAACUUUUUCUUUCUAUUUAAAAGCUAAGAAAUGAUGUUUUAAAGGAAAAAUGAAAUUAUUUUCUUUUAGCUUCUUUUAAGGUAAAACAGCUUUUUUACUCUGUUAUUGUGGUAAUGGACAGAAAAUUGCAUACCAAAAUAUUCUGGGAGAGCAUUCUCCUAGUUGGUUUUAAAUCAUUGUGCUACCUGAAAGGUUUUUUGAUUUUGUAGGAGCUAUUUUGUCCACCAGCAUUAAUGUGACACUAGUUAUGAAAAUAUAUUGAAGGACAAGAAGUGGACACAAAGUGAUUUUUGUAACCUGGGCAGUUAAUGAAUGUGCCAACGUUUUCGAGGAAGGGACAGCAAGAAUAUUCUGCCCUGUAGUUAAAAUACUGGCUGGCUUUUAAUGUCUUCAUGCUUAAUCGUGAUCACUUUCUUGCACUGUGAUGUUUUUACGUGAACAUGUUAAAAUGGAAGUCUACCAUAUUACUUUAUAAAAUGUUUUCUGUAUGCCAGUAAACUGAAAAUAUGGAUCAACAACAACAACAAAAUGCGUCUUGACACAGUUUUGAGGCCCUAUGUAGGGGUUAGUCAAUUUUCACUGAGCAAUCGGUUAAGCCCAUAUCCCCAACCACCUCCCUUAUGAGACUCUCACCCUCCUGGCCACCAUACACUUUUCCUAAUUACUCUAAGGGCAGGUAUCAGAUAACCAGAGGCAGCUCCUAUACCCUGGAGCCCACUGAAAGUGCUCAAAUUAGUCAAUCCUAAGCCUGCGUAUCCUGCCUCAUCCAUUCCUUCCUGCAGAAACCACAAUAAAGACACUUGUCUUCCCUCUUCCUUUGCCUCACGACCAACCUUGGUGCUUCCCCUGAGUGGCCCUGUGUGGCAUAUUGUGUUCUUCCCAGAGAACUGUCAGUAUAAGAAACUGUAAAACUCUUUCUGGUUUCUGUCUGUUGAUCUGCAUCUGGCCUCACCAGGUAAUAUAACUAAAACAGUAUUAAAUUAAUACUGAGUUGGAAGAAUAACAAUUUGUAUUUAAUAUAAAUGCUUUUCCAGCCAUAAUCUUUGAGGCACAAAUGAAAUAAUGGAUACAACUUUAAAGAAUGACAAUUCCUUGUAAAUGUAGGGUAUUAUAGUUGACUCUUAAACAACAUGAGUUUGAACUAUAUGGCUCAACUUGUACAUGAAUAUUUCUCAGUAAAUAUAUUUGAAAAUGUUUUAGAGAUUUAUGACAAUUUGAAAAAAACUUGAAGAUGAACCUUGUAGCCUAGAAAUAUCUAAUAUUUUCUAAAAGUUAGGUAUGUCAUGAAUGCAUAAAAUAUAUGUAGACACUAGUCCGUUUUAUCAUUUACUACCAUAAAGUGUACAUGAAUCUGUUAUUAAAGUUUGUUAAAAUGUACACAAACACUUAAAGACUGCACAUGAGAGAAAUGUAAACAAAUGUAAAGAUGAAGUAUUAAAUCAUAAUUGCAUAAAAUUAACUGUAGUACAUACUUUACUACUGUAAUCAUUUCAUAGCCACCUAUUGUUGCUACCGUGGUGAGCUCAAGUGUUGUGUAUUCACUGAAAACACCAUUUGGUGCUAAUCAUCUCCACAGGAGCAGUUCGUCUCUCUAGUAAAUUGCAUAUGGCAGUAAAAAGUGAUCUCUCACAUUUCUUGUGUAUUUUUCAUCAUGUUUAGUGCAAUACUGUAAACUUUGAGUAACAUCAUGAGACCUAUAUGAAGUGCCACUAAUGAUGCUGGAAAUGCUCCCAAGAAGCAUAGAAAAGUCAUGACAUUAUGAGAAAAAGUUGAUUUGCUUGAUAUGUACCAUAGACUAAGAUCUGCAGCUGCAGUUGCCCACCAUUUCAAAUGAAUCCACUGUAAGGACCAUUAUAUAAAAAGAAAAGAAAAUGUGUGAAGCUGUCACUGCAGCUAUACCAGCAGGCACAAAAACCUUGCACUUUUUGCGAAAUACCUUUUUAUCUCAUAUUGAAAAAUGCAGCUUUUAUGUGUGUGCAGGAUUGCUAUAAGAAAGGCAUACCUAUAGACUUUGAGAUUAAAUUUAAUUUAAGAUUUGAGAAAAGCAAAGUCAUUAUAUGACAGUUUAAAGCAAAAUGAAGGUGAAAGAUCUAAAACUGGAGAAUUUAAUGUCAGCAAAAGAUGGUUUGAUAAUUUUAGAAAGAGGUUUGGCUUUAAAAAUGUCAAGCUAAUAGGAGAAGCAGCUUCUGCCAACCAAGAGGCAGCAGAUAAGCUGCCAGACACCAUUAAGAAAAUUGUUAAAGAGAAAGGACAUCUCCCUGAACAGGUUUUUAAUGCAGACAAAAGAGCCAUAUUCUAUUUUUUUAAAGUGCCACAAAGGACAUUUAUUUUGCAAAUGCAGUUGCGUUUAUGAUCAGGACUUCCCUUGUCUAUAAAGCUGCUAACCUUUGAGCCUUGAAAAGAAAGGUAAGCACCAGUUGCCAGUAUUUCGGCUGUACAACAAGAAAGCCUGGACAAUGAGAACACUUUUUCUGGACUGGUUCCAUCUAUGCUUCAUCUUUGAAGUCAGCAAGUAUCUUGCCAUUAAGCGAUUGCCUUUUAAAGUUCUUUUGAUAUUGGACAAUGUUCCUGGCCACUCAAAACCACGUGAGUUCAACACCUAAGGUGUCGAAGUGGUCUGUUUGCCUGAAAACACAAUGUUUCUAAUUCAGCCUCUAGAUCAGAGGUUAUAAGGGUCUUUAAGUCUCAUUACACAUGGUUCUCUAUGGAAGGGACUGUCAAUGCUAUGGAAGAGAACAUCGACAGAGGUAGCAUCUUGAAAAGCUGGAAGGAUUACAUCAUUGAAGAUAACAUUGUUGCUAUAGAAAAAGCUGUCGAAGCCAUCAAGCCCAACUAAAUUCCUGCUGAAGGAAACUGUUUCCAGAUGUUGUGCAUGACUUCACAGAAUUUAUAACAGAGUCAAUCAAGGAAAUCAUAAAAGAAAUUGUGAAUAUGACAAAAAGGGUGGUGGAUGAAGAAUUUCAAGAUACAGAUCUUGUAGAAAUUCAAGAGCUAAUAGACAUCACACCAAAGGAAUUAACAGAAGACAACUUGAUGGAGAUGAGUGCUUCUGAACCAGUGCCAGAUGAUGAAAAAGAAGAUGUUGAAGAAGCUGUGCCAGAAAACAAAUUGACAUUGGACAAUCUGAUGGAAGCAUCCCAAUUUUUCAAGACUUAUUUUGACUUAUUUUACAACAUGGGCCCUUCUAUAAUAUGGGCACUGAAAUGAAAGCAAACAGUGGGAGAAGGAUUGGUAUCAUAUAGAAACAUUUUUAUAGAAAUGAAAAAGCAAAAAAGUCACAUUGCAAUGUAUUUCCAUAAAGCUACACCAAUUGUGUCUGCCUUUCUUGCCUUCCCUUUCUCCUCCUCCACCUCUUCCACCUUUGCCACUCUGAAACAGCAAGACUAACCCCUCAUCUUCCUCCUCUUCCUCAGCCUACUCAACAUGAAGACAACAAAGAUGAAGACCUUCCUAAUGAUCCACUUCCACUUAAUGACCAGCAAAUAGAUUUGCCUAUCUUAUAAUUUUCUUAAUAACAUUUUCUUUUCUCUAGCUUUCCUUAUUGUAAAUGUAGAGUAUACAGUGCAUAUGAUAUAGAAAAUAUGUGUUAGUCAACUGUUUAUGUUAUCAGUAAGGCUUCCAGUCAAUAGUAGGCUAUUAGUAGUUAUGUUUUGGGGGGAAGUAAUAAGUUAUACAUGAAUUUUUGACUGGGUAAGCUGUCAGUACCCCUAACUCCCACAUUAUUCUAGGGUUAACACUGCCACGAUAUUACCUUCCUAGAUAUAUUGCUGAUCUGUUUCAGACCUUCAUCAUAUAUUAUUUAGACAACUAAAAUACAAUUAAUUCAGUUAUUGAUUAGCUUUACGAAUAUCAGUUGAGUUCUCUACUAUAUGCCAAACUCUUUACUAGUUACUGAAGCACUUUAUUAGAAUAAGACAUGUUUUUCUUGCCUUCAAGAAUCUUACAUUUGAAUUAGAGUUACAUAUGCAAGUAAUUAAUUACAAUGUAAUGUUAUAGAUGGAUAAUAAAAAAUAAUCAUGAAAGCAGAGGAAGGAGACUCCUUGGUUAUCUGGGGGAAGAAGAACUUCACAGAAGCUGAUAUUUGAAGUGUUUUGAAGGACAAAUUGGAGACAGAAAACAGACUGAUAAUCUUAAAAUUCCAGAUAAAAUGUGGCAAACAUCCCUUUAAAUAGACAUUUGAGACCAUAAGAAAGCAAAGGAGUUACACAGAAUUCAAAAAAUAAAGAAGUUCUAUUUCUGGAAUGGCAACAUAAGAGGUUCCAUGGACACAUUCAACAGUGAAACUGAGGAAAAUUACUUUAAAAUAACCAUUUAAAGGCAGUGGAAAUUGUCCUAAGUGUAUAUAGCAAAUGAGGAAACAUUUAUUCGGGAAAACAUACCAAAACUUGGUAAGAACAGCAGGGGUCUGUGGUAUUUGAUCUAUAAGCCUACUUUCACCCUUCCUGCUUCUGCUCAGAGUGGCAGAAACUCUGGGCAGGUGUGGCUAGGAAAAUGGGGUUCCCUCUCCCCUCAGCUUCCAAUCCAGUGCUAUGGUAUAUCUUUCCAAGAGGGAUGAAUGUCAGCAUUUCUCAUCUUGAACCCCAGCUACCUGUUGCACAGGCUAAGUUCUGGAUGGGAGCAGCAGAGAGAAGUGUCUCCCUUCUUUUGCCCAGCCAACAUUCUUUAAGGGGAAUUAGACUUCAUCAAAAUAAUUCAGCCAGUCACUAAACAAAUAAACAAACAAGUGACAGUAACAUGCCCAGAGAGGCCAUGCAGUACCAAGAGAGAGCCUGUGCACUUGGGUGGGGAGAGUACAGCAAUUGGAGGAAUUUACAUUGAACUCAGUGCUGCCCUGUCACAGUGGAGAACAAAGCCGUGCUGGGCUCAGCCAGUGCCUGCAUGUUGGGGGAGCACUUGCACUAGACCUAGCCAGAGGGGAACUUGAGUUUCUUGGCCACAGGGGUGCUUGCAUCACCACAACCCCAAUUCUAGGUGGCUCAGCACAUGGAGAGAGACUGUUUGUUUGAGAGUGAGAGAAAAGAACAAGAGUCUCCGCCUGGUAAUCCAGAGAAUUCUUCCGGAUCUUAUCCAAGACCACCAAGGCAGUAACUUGUAUGAGUCUGUAAAAACUACAGCAUUACUGGGCUUGGGGCCUAAGUCCCUUGGAAUACCUGGAAAGCCUUCUGAAUGAUGACAGGAACAAACAAGCCCAAAAUGUGAAGACUACAAUAAAGACCUAAUUCUUCAAUGGCCAGACACAGAUGAGCAUCUACAAGCAUCAAGACCAUCCAGGAAAACAAAAUUUCACCAAAUGAACUAAAUAAGGCACGAGGGACCAAUGAUUCGUGGAGAAACAUAGAUAUGUGACCUUUCAGACAGAAUUCAAAAUA
This 9445-nucleotide long non-coding RNA is filed under the name Homo sapiens (human). RNAcentral describes it as "HSALNT0407410". The record is from RNAcentral. Lineage: Eukaryota; Metazoa; Chordata; Mammalia; Primates; Hominidae.